This 74-nucleotide transfer RNA is filed under the name Ixodes scapularis (black-legged tick). Its description in RNAcentral is "tRNA-Thr for anticodon UGU". It matches the Rfam family "tRNA". From Rfam's summary of the family: Transfer RNA (tRNA) molecules are approximately 80 nucleotides in length. Their secondary structure includes four short double-helical elements and three loops (D, anti-codon, and T loops). The record is from RNAcentral. Lineage: Eukaryota; Metazoa; Arthropoda; Arachnida; Ixodida; Ixodidae.
CCCUGGUGAAGCUCAGUUGGUAGAGCGCUCCACCUGUAAUGGAGAGGUCCCGGGUUCGAUACCCGGAUCAGGCG